RNAcentral lists this long non-coding RNA (494 nucleotides) under Medicago truncatula (barrel medic). RNAcentral describes it as "long non-coding RNA (MTRU_LNC002523)". Lineage: Eukaryota; Viridiplantae; Streptophyta; Magnoliopsida; Fabales; Fabaceae. The record is from RNAcentral.
GCACUAGUAACAUAUCCAAUAGAGUAAAUAAAUUUAAAGUAUAAUCGAAGUGAUUACACAACUAAUAAAGACCAUAAUAACGGAUUCAACUAAAUAAUAAAAUGAAUUAAAGACAGUGGCUACUGAGUUUAUUUUUACCAAAUUCAAAAAGCAUUGAACAUUCUAAAUUCUACCUAGAACCAUUGUUACUCAAAACAAUGUCCACAAACCGCUUCCUCAAUCCAGGAGUAUCCAUUGUGAAAAAAAUAGUCGCAAAGGUUAUUGUCUUUGGUGAUAAGCAUACCAGCCAUUACCACUUCUGCAUCAGACAGUCCUUCAAUUUCUUUUAAAAUAGAGACAAUCUGGUUCCUCCUAUCAGCUGUGUGUUUCUCAUGCACAAAACAAGAAGUGAAGACUUGUUUCAUAUUCUCAAUACCAUUAGCAUAAAUCUCACCCAAUUUGUUCAAUGAAUUUGACAUGCUAUCAGAAGCAUCAUCGUUAUACUUCACCCUUUU